CCAGGGGAGCUUUGACAACCACAGAAUUUGAGAUGGCUGGUAAUCGUUCUCAGAACAUAAAACACAAAGCUGGACUGUAGUGGAACAAUCACAGUUCACUGCAGCAUCGGCCUCCUGGGCUCAAGUGAUCUUACUGCCUCAGCUUCCCGAGUAGCUGGAACUAUGGGUGAGCAACACCACAGCCAGCUAAUUUUUUAAGUUUUUGUAGAGACGGGGUCUUGCUGUGUUGCACAGGCUGGUCUCAAACUCUGGCUUCAAGUGAUCCUUCCACCUCAGCCUCCCAAAGUGCUGAGAUUACAGGUGUGAGCCACUGCCCCAAUGGUAUCUUUAUAUUAUUUUUCCUUACAAGUUACUUCAAAUUCUUGAUGUUGAAUUUCAUCUCACUGACUUCAGGCUUUUAAAACACAUGGGAAUACUUGAGACCUAAGAAUGGUUGUGAGUCAAAUAAAAAAGUAGAACUAAA
Molecule: long non-coding RNA, 463 nt
Organism: Homo sapiens (human)
Lineage: Eukaryota; Metazoa; Chordata; Mammalia; Primates; Hominidae
Gene: DNAJC9-AS1
Product: DNAJC9 and MRPS16 antisense RNA 1
Source: Ensembl